ACUCAAAGGAAUUGACGGGGGCCCGCACAAGCAGCGGAGCGUGUGGUUUAAUUCGAUGCAACGCGAAGAACCUUACCUAGGCUUGACAUGGCCAGAGUAGGAUCCCGAAAGGGUGACGACCCGUAAAGUCGGGAAUGGUCACAGGUGCUGCAUGGCUGUCGUCAGCUCGUGCCGUGAGGUGUUGGGUUAAGUCCCGCAACGAGCGCAACCCUCGGCGUUAGUUACCAUGUCUAACGCGACUGCCGGUUUCAAACCGGAGGAAGGUGGGGAUGACGUCAAGUCAGCACGGCCCUUACGCCUAGGGCUACACACACGCUACAAUGGCCGGUACAACGGGACGCUAAGGGGCGACCUGGAGCAAAUCCCAUCAAAGCCGGUCUCAGUUGGGAUUGCAGGCUGCAACUCGCCUGCAUGAACGAGGAGUUGCUAGUAACCGCAGGUCAGCACACUGCGGUGAAUACGUUCCCGGGCCUUGUACACACCGCCCGU
RNAcentral lists this ribosomal RNA (489 nucleotides) under uncultured bacterium. RNAcentral's name for it is "partial 16S ribosomal RNA". It matches the Rfam family "Bacterial small subunit ribosomal RNA", at positions 899 to 1397 of the family's 1533-position model. The record is from RNAcentral.